RNAcentral lists this ribosomal RNA (222 nucleotides) under uncultured bacterium. RNAcentral's name for it is "partial 16S ribosomal RNA". It matches the Rfam family "Bacterial small subunit ribosomal RNA", at positions 99 to 334 of the family's 1533-position model. The record is from RNAcentral.
CGUACGGGUGAGUAACACGUGGGUGAUCUACCUCUUAUGGGGGAUAUCUCUGGGAAACCGGAGUUAAUACCGCAUAAGCUCGAGAGAGGAAAGGGAGCAAUUCCGCUGAGAGAGGAGCCCGCGGCCGAUUAGCUAGUUGGUGAGGUAACGGCUCACCAAGGCAUAGAUCGGUAGCCGGCCUGAGAGGGCACACGGCCACACUGGCACUGAAACACGGGCCAG